Dermochelys coriacea (leatherback sea turtle) is the source of this 668-nucleotide long non-coding RNA. RefSeq lists it as uncharacterized. NCBI's taxonomy places the organism in Eukaryota, Metazoa, Chordata, Testudines, Dermochelyidae. The transcript is spliced from 4 exons. The record is from RefSeq and is a predicted model, not a curated record.
GUCCCAGCAGACUUCCCUGGAAAUUCUCAUUGCAGCUCAGGUGGUAUAAAGCCCAGUCUUGUAGACCCUGGAUUCUCCUUGAGGGUUUCAUGCAGUUGCAGAGAUUUUUAUGCAUCUUCAACAUCUCAAGGGGCAUAUCUUCAGGCUAUGAGUCUAGAAAGGAGCUCAAGGAAUACUCAUGCAGCAGAGAAGGGGAAAUUCCCAAGGAGAAAAAGCUGAAAUUCUACACCCAGAAUAAGAACAGAGUAGCAGCCAGAAGUGCCCCAAAUGGCACAUUUUCCUCUAUAGCCACUUGCAGAAGAAGCUGAGUUGCUACUCCAGUGUGCAUUUCGGAUGGAUUUACAGAGCCUUGCUCAUACCCUUCUGCAUCUGCUGCUGGCUUACUGCACCUUGGGCAUGAUUGACAGGACCCGCUGCUGUUCGUGGGAGGUGCUGCCCUAAGCAGGUAGACUAAUUGUCCACACAUAGCUGGAAGCAAUCCAGGUAUGUCACCAGCUGUUCACUUGAGACACUGUCUUCCCUGAAGAUUUUCUUCAGAUCCUGUGACCCAAACCUCAACUGUCUAGCCUUUGAAUUAGCAACUCACAGGAGUUGCCUGAUUUAAGACAUGGUUUUGCUCCCGCCGGCAUCCAAUGGAGUUUUCAAGUGUUGUGUUAUGGCAGUUAGUA